This 58-nucleotide transfer RNA is filed under the name Salmo salar (Atlantic salmon). It matches the Rfam family "tRNA", at positions 8 to 63 of the family's 71-position model. From Rfam's summary of the family: Transfer RNA (tRNA) molecules are approximately 80 nucleotides in length. Their secondary structure includes four short double-helical elements and three loops (D, anti-codon, and T loops). The record is from Rfam by way of RNAcentral. Lineage: Eukaryota; Metazoa; Chordata; Actinopteri; Salmoniformes; Salmonidae.
UAGCUCAGUUGUUAGAGCAUGGCGCUUGCAGUGCCAGGUUUGUGGGUUUGAUUCCCAU